Long non-coding RNA from Python bivittatus (Burmese python), 456 nucleotides. RefSeq lists it as uncharacterized. The record is from RefSeq and is a predicted model, not a curated record. Lineage: Eukaryota; Metazoa; Chordata; Lepidosauria; Squamata; Pythonidae.
GGCUUGCAGAAAUCUUCAGCUUGUUUAAAGAGGAGGCAGAGCCUGACUACAUAUUACACUUGUCCUGUGAAAAUAUCAAAAGCUACUCAAGAUCCAAUCUCUUUUUCUCCUGCUGGCCACAGUGGAGCUCACCAUGGUGACAGGGGUGGUAGCAUCAGCUAGCCGUUUUCAAGACUCUACCAAUGGAGACAAGGGAUCCCACACAUAUUACAAGUUGCUCUUCUCUACUUAAAUAAAGCUCCAAACAUAAAUGCCUUCAAUGCCUGAGUUACUGCAACAAUUUAGCAAGCUGGAGGUCUUGCUCUACGUGCGGCUCCUUGCAGAAUGUUCAGUGAUGACAUGGACACAAGCUUUCUCUUCAAUGGCACCUGUGGAAUAACCAGGGGCAGAAAAAUCGCCACGGACGUGUCAGGGGCGGAAAAGGGCCGCGGACCACGCGGCAGGGCGGGAAAACGG